CCUACGGGAGGCAGCAGUGGGGAAUAUUGGACAAUGGGCGAAAGCCUGAUCCAGCAAUGCCGCGUGAGUGAAGAAGGCCUUCGGGUUGUAAAGCUCUUUUACCCGGGAAGAUAAUGACUGUACCGGGAGAAUAAGCCCCGGCUAACUCCGUGCCAGCAGCCGCGGUAAUACGGAGGGGGCUAGCGUUGUUCGGAAUUACUGGGCGUAAAGCGUACGUAGGCGGCUUUGUAAGUCAGAGGUGAAAGCCCACGACUCAAUCGUGGAACUGCCUUUGAGACUGCUUCGCUUGAAGAUGGGAGAGGUUAGUGGAAUUCCGAGUGUAGAGGUGAAAUUCGUAGAUAUUCGGAAGAACACCAGUGGCGAAGGCGGCUAACUGGACCAUUCUUGACGCUGAGGUACGAAAGCGUGGGGAGCAAACAGGAUUAGAUACCCUGGUAGUCCACGCCGUAAACGAUGAUAACUAGCUGUCGGGGCUCUUGGAGCUUCGGUGGCGCAGCUAACGCAUUAAGUUAUCCGCCUGGGGAGUACGGCCGCAAGGUUAAAACUCAAAGGAAUUGACGG
Molecule: ribosomal RNA, 561 nt
Filed under: uncultured bacterium
Lineage: Bacteria
Description: bacterial SSU rRNA
Rfam family: Bacterial small subunit ribosomal RNA
Source: RNAcentral